UGGGGGAUAUUGCACAAUGGGGGAAACCCUGAUGCAGCAACGCCGCGUGAAGGAAGAAGGUCUUCGGAUUGUAAACUUCUGUCCUCAGGGAAGAUAAUGACGGUACCUGAGGAGGAAGCUCCGGCUAACUACGUGCCAGCAGCCGCGGUAAUACGUAGGGAGCGAGCGUUGUCCGGAUUUACUGGGUGUAAAGGGUGCGUAGGCGGAUAGGCAAGUCAGUGGUGAAAUCUAUGGGCUUAACCCAUAAACUGCCAUUGAAACUGUUUAUCUUGAGUGGAGUAGAGGCAGGCGGAAUUCCCGGUGUAGCGGUGAAAUGCGUAGAGAUCGGGAGGAACACCAGUGGCGAAGGCGGCCUGCUGGGCUUUAACUGACGCUGAGGCACGAAAGUGUGGGUAGCAAACAGG
This 404-nucleotide ribosomal RNA is filed under the name uncultured bacterium. RNAcentral's name for it is "bacterial SSU rRNA". It matches the Rfam family "Bacterial small subunit ribosomal RNA", at positions 355 to 776 of the family's 1533-position model. The record is from RNAcentral.